RNAcentral lists this long non-coding RNA (217 nucleotides) under Mytilus galloprovincialis (Mediterranean mussel). The record is from RNAcentral. Lineage: Eukaryota; Metazoa; Mollusca; Bivalvia; Mytilida; Mytilidae.
CAAUUGGUACAAAAAGAGGGACGAAAGAUACCAAAGGGACAGUCAAACUCAUAAAUCUAAAACAAACUGACAACGCCAUGGCUAAAAAUAAAAAAGACAAACAGAAAAACAAUAGAACACACGACACAACAUAGAAAACUAAAGAAUAAACAACACGAACCCCACCAAAAACUAGGGGUGAUCUCAAGUGCUCCGGAAGGGUAAGCAGAUCCUGCUC